AAUUUCAUACUUUGGAUUUUAAAUAUGGUGGCUGAGCCUCCCUGAUGGUUUGGAUCUGUGUUUGGACCCACAUCUCAUGUUGAAAUGUAAUUCCCAAGCUGGAGAUGGGCCCUGAUGCGGGGUGAUUGGAUCAAUGGGGUGGUUUCUUGUGGUUUAACACCAUUUCCCCUUGGUGCUGUCAUUGCAAUAAUGAGUGAAAUCUGGUUGUUUAAAAGUGUGUGGCAACUCCUCCCUCUCUCUCUUCCUCCUCCUCCAGCCAUGUGAAGUGCUGGCUUCCCUUUGCCUUCCACCAUGAUUGUAAGUUUCCUGAGACAUCCCCAGAUGCCAAGCAGAUGCCACCAUCACAUUUCCUGUACAGCCUGUGGAACUAUGUUGAUGACCAGAAUAACACCUGCUCCACCGAAGUCUCAGAGCAGCAGUGGGAAUCACGUGACACAGUCAUUCACUCAGCAAGUGUGUGUGGAGUGCCCAUGACAUGCCAGCCCCUCUUCCAGGAGCCAGAGAUAGAGAAUGGAGUUCCAAGCAGCAGCUGAAAGGUGUUGCUACCUGCAAUCUGACAUAGAGCCCCAAAUUAUUAGUGGUUCUCAACCUUGAGCAUGCAUCAGAAUUUCCUGGAGAGCGUCUUAAAACAUCAAUUGGUGGGUUCCACUCCUAAUGUUUUUGAUUACGUAUUGAUAGGUCUAAGUUAGAAACUGAGAAUUUGCAUUUCUAACAAUUUCACAGUUGUUUCUGAUGCUAACAGUCCAGGGUCACACUCUGAGAACCCCUACUCUAAGGAUUAAAUGUAUUAAGCAUAUUUAACACACAUUUAUUUAGUGCCUACUGUGUACUAGGAACUGUUUUCAGUAUGAAAGAAAAAGCAGUGAACAAAACAAAGCCCCUGCCUUCAUGAAGCUUUCAUUCUAGUGGUGGCGAUAGACAAUAAAUAAACCCAUAAAUAAACAAUAACAUUUCAGAUUAUGCUAAGUUCUUUGAAGAAAAUAAAGCAGGUUAGGGAAUAGUGAGUGACUGAGUCGCACUGAGAAAUAUUAUUUCGGAUUCAGCAGUAGUUGGGGAAGGCAUCUCUGAGGAGGUCAUAUCUGAUCAAAAACGAUAAAAAGAGAAGACAUCUGAUUUCGGGGAAGUGUACUCCAAGAGGAAAGAACAACAAGUGCAAAGAUCCCAAGGAAAAAGAAAAUAUAAUUGGACUUACACUGUUCAAAGAACAUUCCAGCUACAGAGCAGAACAGGAAUGGAAGCAGGUGAUAAGUUAGGUGACUGCUGAGAUCUUGCAGGUGAGGGAUGAUGGAGGUGUGACCUGAGGUAGUGGCAGAGGAGGUGCUGAGAAGUGAUCAGAUUCACAUUGUACUUUAAAAGUCAAGCUGACAGGACUUGCUGUUGGGUUGGAGGUAAGGCGAGGGGAAGAGAAAAAUCAAGAAUGGGUCCUGAGAUUUUUGGCCUGACUUAAUAAACUAUGAUAAUCUCUAAGAAAGUAUUCGGCACAUAAGGGUUCAAUACUCAUCUAUGUAUGUUGGAAUCAGAAAGUUUUCAGUUUAGAAAUUCCAAUGAUGCCCUAAAUGGUCACACAACCCAUGCCCUGCACAACUCUAGGGGGCACUAUUAUAUAGACUGUGAUAUGAAUGGGGUUGUGUAAAGAGGUUCUUUUGGAAAAGGUUUGACUUUCACAACUCUCUGACUCUGUAUCAAUAUUAUCCUUAGAUUUUUUUCAUCUUUCUUCAGCCAAAUAUCACUCCAAUAAACUGAGUUGAACAUUCAUCAUGAAAGCCACUGUGCCAGAGGCUGAGCAUGUGUCAUUCAUUUGGGAGUAUUUUAGAACUCAAAGACUUACAUUUGGAGUAUGAGCUUAUACCAAGAAAGAGAGUCAUCAUGUCAUCAGUGAUCAAUAUUAAUGUUGAAGGGUUCUUUCUUGACAUUUCCCCAAGAUUCCUUGCUCAAGAAUAUUGGGUCAGUUGCACCCCCUUGAUUAUGGGGGUAGCAUUAGAAUGAUCGUGAUAUGUAACCUAGUCAAGUACCACCACCCUGGAUGUCCACCCCCUCCUGAGUGGAGCUGGCAAGCUUGACACUGCACCAGCAGAGAUAAAGAUGCAUGCAUUCUGUGGGAGCAAUCACGUCUGGACCCUAAAUCUCUCCAAAUAUCAUCAAGAAAGAAAUAUGACUCAUGGAAAUUCAGUUGUAUUUUUUAAGUUUAUUCUUGUUGAUUAUAGCUUAGGAGAUUCAGUUUGUGUUUUUCAUGCAUCAAAAUUAUAAAGAGAGCAGAGUUUGUCACCACCAGCUUCCUUAGCCCACGUUGCUCUCUGUGCCUGCUUAUUGAAUUUACUCUGCAUCAGUUCCCCAUUCCUCUGCCCCCUGAUCUUACCCAGUUGCCCAUGCUCCAGAUCUGAAUUUAGCAACCCCAUCAGCAGUUAUUCAUUGAGAAAGUAUUAUAGAUCAUUAUAACACAUACAGUGUUUCACACAGCACACAUGCUGGGUACUGCCCUAGUCUAUAAUAGCCAAUAUUUAUUGAGUCCUUAUUAUUUGUCAGGCACUGUGCCAACUGCUUUCAGUAAAUUAUCUCAUUUAAUCCUCAUGGUAAUCCUAUAGUUUUAGUUCUAUUAUUAUCUCCAUGUACAAAUGAGAAACCUGAGAAGAGGUGAAAUAAUGCCUAAGAUUACCCAGGAGGCUUAUAGCAGGAUGGGAUGAAAACCCAAACCUUUCUGACUCAUAGUCCAUGUUUGUUGUUGUUGUUGUUUGUUUUUGUUUUUUGUUUGUUUGUUUGUUUGUUUUUUGAUAUGGAGUCUUGCUCUGUCACCCAGGCUGGAGUACAGUGGCACGAUCUCA
This 2819-nucleotide long non-coding RNA is filed under the name Homo sapiens (human). RNAcentral's name for it is "HSALNT0173415". The record is from RNAcentral. Lineage: Eukaryota; Metazoa; Chordata; Mammalia; Primates; Hominidae.